RNAcentral lists this microRNA precursor (146 nucleotides) under Prunus dulcis (almond). RNAcentral's name for it is "sRNA ncRNA". Lineage: Eukaryota; Viridiplantae; Streptophyta; Magnoliopsida; Rosales; Rosaceae. The record is from RNAcentral.
UCCACUCCCCUUUUAUCUACUUACACUCCCUUUUGUUUUUUUAAUAUUUUUUACUAUGAGAUAAAAGGAAGUGUAAGUGAACAAAAGAGGAGUGAGAACAUAUAAUUUUAAAAAAAUAGAGUGUAAGUGGAUAAGAGAGGAGUGGG